GCUUGACGAUCGGGCCUGGAGAGCCGACUCCUCCGGGACUCGAAAUCAAGCNN
This 53-nucleotide microRNA precursor is filed under the name Lotus japonicus. RNAcentral describes it as "miR11171 stem-loop (lja-MIR11171)". The record is from miRBase by way of RNAcentral. Lineage: Eukaryota; Viridiplantae; Streptophyta; Magnoliopsida; Fabales; Fabaceae.